This is a non-coding RNA of Sus scrofa (pig), 5847 nucleotides long. The record is from RefSeq and is a predicted model, not a curated record. Lineage: Eukaryota; Metazoa; Chordata; Mammalia; Artiodactyla; Suidae.
CACAGUCAGUAGCAACAAAACACCCAACUUCAGAGAAUCCAGAUGUUUGGAUGGUGUAAUACCAAACAAUCACUUGGUCUGAGGUUUUUCCUGAUUUGGACAAAUGAUUCUGACGUUACAUAAUCACAACCAUCAUGAUUUAAGUUUUAGCUACAGACAGAACCCUGUUGGGACGGACCUGAUUUUCUGUGUUAAUUAAUUAAAUGUUAUUGCUCCAACUUGUUGGUACCUCUCAGCUGAAAUCAUUUUCAAGGUCUGUUGUUUUGAUACUAUGGUGGUCUGUUUCUUUAAAUUACAAGUAGUUAAAGGAUCUUCUAGAGUAAUUAGGGCACCUCAGGCUCUAGAAACCAUAAGGGAUCAAUGAUCAUUAAUUAAAGAUGGUGGAAUAGGAAAAGGCCUGGAACCGGGAGGCAAAUGUUGAUUCUCUUGCUUGCUUGAGCUGAACUCUGACUCCUUAAGCUUUCAUGAGAGGAGAUACUUACGGAAACAUAGAUUUGUAAGAAGACUAAAACCAAAGCGGUUAACCACGCUCUCUAAAUAUAAUCCACCCCCCCACCCCCCCACCCGCCAAAGCAAGCAAACAACACAGUCCUAACAAUAGAAUAGUUUAUGUGCCGCCCAUACAAAGGGGACCUGAAACCAGGAAGCCCUAGGAUUCGAUGAGGGGAGAACAAUCUGGCAGUGAGCUGACUUCUACCAAAGCAACCUGGAUCAGGAAGCUGGUGGAGGAGAGCCUGGAACCCCUUUGGUGAGGGGCCUAAGACCUCAUGACAAGGUGUGUAAAUGGGGGAGCCAGAUGAAAGCCAGGUCCUUUGACUCCUAAGCAUGAACUUCACCCAGGGCUCAUAUUUAGAAGAUUGACCAUCCAAGCACCGCAAGCAUCCCAGGUGAUUGUGAAGCAUCCUCUGUUAAGAAGGUCUCCAGCAUUUUUGCUCCGUCUCUGGGCACACAUCAGAGCCAUCAAGCAUGGCCAUCUUUCCCUGGGGCGCUGCCCUCUGAUUCGGGCUGCCAGCUGAAAUACGUGUCUCUCAAACAUACGGAGCUUGAAGUGACUCCUUGUUUAUUUGAAAAACAAAUGUAACUGGGCUUCUGGCUGAAUCGGGCCACUGUGAGGCCUCUUCCCACUUCUCAUUUGCCUCCACCCAUCUCUUGUGGGGGGGGGUUGAAAACCACUCGAGGGAGUGCCUGUUGUGACUCAGUGGUAAGGAACCCGACUAGCAUCCAUGAAGACUCGGGUUUGAUCCUUGGCCUCGCUCAGUGGGUUAAGGAUCUGGCGUGGCUGUGGCUGGCAGCUGCAGCUCCAAUUGAAGACUUACAUAUGCGUGGACAUGGCUCUGGAAAGAAAGAAAGAAAGAGAAAGAAAGAAAGAAGGAAGGAAGGAAGGAAGGAAGGAAAGAAAGAAAGAAAGAAAGAAAGAGAAAGGAAAGAGCUUGAAAUUACAGAGCUGUGAAGAAUAAAAAAUCCUCGUUCUUGUAUUUUUUUCCUAAUGGCUACACCCAUGGUAUAUGGAAGUUCCUGGGCCAGCGACAGAAUCCCAGGUGCAUCUGUGACCUACGCCACAGCUGCAACAAUGCCGGAUUCUUAACGCACUGCACCAGGCUGGGGACAGAACCAGUGCCUCUACAGAAACAAGCCAGGUCCUCACCCACUGUGCCACAGUGGGGUCUCCCCUCUAGUCUUUUCUACCUGGACUUGCCUCCCCAUAGCUUCUGCUCCUGUCUCUACUCUGAGCAAGCCCCACUCGUCUCCCCCGAGUUCUGAGACUCUGAGACCCCGGUGCCUUGGCUGGACUAUCUCGGGCUGGACCUCAAACCUCGCAUGCUCAAAACAGGAUUCUGGCCUGAUCCACCCUGUGCUCUGUCUCUCCCUCUGUUCCACCAGUUUCUCCUCCAAAGUCCUCCAUCUCGGGAUGUGGCACUGAGGGCCGCAGCCCAAGAGCCAUUUGCAGGGCUGAUCUUUGCCACACAGCCCCUUUCCGGUCCUUCACCGGGUCCAUUUCCAUUGCCAACAUUCCCUUUGAGGCCAUCAUUUGCUCUUGGCUGGACCAGUGCCGUGGACUUGGCUCCUGUCAAAUCUUUUCUUGUUUCCGUGCUCCCCACUCUCCACACUGCAGCUGGGGACCUCCUCCCGGCAGCAGCCAGAUCGAAUCACCGACCGCCUCCCUCCUUGGUUCACGCUCUCAAAGCCUUGCAGUAGUUCCCUGCUGGAAUUAUUGGCUGGAAGCUGGGAGUUCAGCAACAAAGGCUCUGAACUGGGGCGAUUUUGCCCGCCCUCACCCCCUGGAAAUUGGCAGUGUUUGGAGACCUUCUUGGUUGUCACCACUAGGGGCGCUACUGGCAUCUAAUGUGUAGAGACCUGGGAUGCGGCUUGACACCCCGCAAUGUACAGGAGAGCACCCACCAACGGCAAACAAAGUCCAGUCCUGAAUGUCAAUCAUGAGAAGGAUGAGAAACCCCGGCCGGAAGGAUCCUAGCGUUUAAGAGGAAAGCGCAAGGGACGCUGCCUCCAGCUCAACUGGAAAGUUCUGGAGCCGACAGCCGCCCCUCCACAUUAGUGAACGCCUUCAUUCAGCUGCCAGCUGCUGCCCGCAUCUGGACGGAGAGACACAGCACAGAGCAGCUCGGCUGGGAGCCUGCGCGCUGCUCCCAAGGAAGCCUGGGUUCUUCGAGUUUACAUCACCUCCAGCAGGUUCGACCCCGAGCAAGGAAUAAAACAACUAAAAACCAGAGCCGUGUGCGCUGGGGGGUUGUCGUCCCGAAGGUCCCAGGGGAUGGCAGAGGAAAGCCUUGCACCAUCAGGCUGCACAUGGCUGCCCCAGAGUUUGCAGGCAACAAAGGCCUCUGAUUUAUUCCCCCAAGUUGGUAGCUUGAAGUGAAACCAAGGUACGCAGUCAAGAGAUGAUAAUGAUUUUAACCACAGUAGUGAACAAUGGAAGAAGAUAUAUCCCUAGCCAUCUGAUUUUCAGAAAUAGAGGUGCAAGGUCAAGAGAUGAUGGUGCCUGGAACAACAGUGUUAACCUUCAAGUUCUGCCAGUGUUCAGGUAGCAGUGAUGGACCCAUAAAGGUGGAAGUGAUGAAAGGUAUUUGCCUGUGUCCCAGUAAGAAAAAUUGUGUCCUUAAAUAUAUCUGUCACAGUGUGUUUUUUUUUAGAUUCCUGUCAGAGGAUCAUAAUGACUCUAAUAAUGGUGGUUAAUGGGACUUUACUGGUAUCCAGUGAGUGAUUAUGUGAGUCCUAGCAUGCUAUAGCCCCUUCUGACCUUCAGAAAUCUAUGUAAAUGGUGAUGGAGUCCCUAACUAUGUUUUGUGUUACUAUGUUUUGUUUUGUUUUUGCAGAUAUUCAGGUAAGAAAUUUUAUUGUUCUCACACAUACUACUAAAAAUUAGCCCUUACUGUUUACUAGUUUAGAGAUCAUUUGUUUCUAACUCUGGUCAAGACUGGGGGAUUUGUAAGUUUUGAGGUAAGUUAUCAUGCAUAGUUGUCUCUCAUCUUAGUAUUGACUAUGGGGUUUUUGUAGGUAUCCAGUCAAGAGACUGUAGUAUGGGCCUAGAUAUCCUGCAUGUAUCCAGGUAAAGUUCAUAGUUUCUCUAAUGCUGGUAGUUCCCAUGAGAUGUUGCAUUAUCUAGAUUGAAAAAAGCGUGUCCCUAGCUUUGGUAAUUGCCAUGGGUCUUACAGAUUCCACUCAUGGUAAAAAAUUAACAAUGAAAAUUAACAAUGGUAGUGAACAUGGGACUUUGCUGGUAGAGAGAUAAGAGAUGGUGUGAGCAUUUGCAUAUUAGAGAUCUUCAGAUUUCCAGAUAGCUAGGUAAAAGAUGAUGGUACUUGUAAUAUUUUUGGUUACACAGGGGUGUUUUGUUUUGAUUUGAUUUUUUCAUAGAUAUGUAGGUGAGUUCUUUGCUAAAAUAUAGGUAAGAAAUGGUGUGACAUUUACAUAUUAGAGACCAUGUGAAUUUCAGAUAUCUAGGUAAUUGUUGGUGGUAAUCAUACCUCUGCUGAUCUAUUUUUAGGUUUGCAGGGAAGAAAUUAAUUUGCCCACCAAUAUUAGUAAGCAUGAAAUUUUAUAUAUUCUUGUUCAGAGGUAGUAUGUGUUUUAUACUCCUAGUGAUGGAUCAAUAAGAUAGAAAUCCAGGUAAUUUAUCAUACCAUCCAUCAUGUGUUAUUGACCAUGGGAUUUUUGCAGGUAUCCCUUUUAGAGAGGAAUGUAUCUCCUACUAGGGUUUAACCUCCCCAGCUCUACAAGUACCUAGGUGGUAUUGAUGAAUAGCAAACAAAGAAAUGAUCAAGGGAAUUUGCCGAUGUCCAGGUAGUAUAAGACUAGUACUAAACACAUAUUUCACAAUGUGCUUUUCAUAUUCCUUUCAAGAGGUUAGGAUAAGCCUAACAAUGGUCGCUAAUGGGGGACAUUGCAGGUAUCCAGGUAAGUGAUGACAUAGGCUUAAGCCAUAGCAGAAGCCAUUUGAUCUUCAUAUAAGCAGGUUAAUGAUGACAGUGUCCCUAACAGUUGUUGACAUGUUUGUUGGUUUUGCAGAUGAGGAAAUUUAAAAAAUAAUUGAGUGUUAGAAAUCAUGAGUUCUCACUUUUUGUAUUUUUGAGAAAUUUUUUGUUUAACCCUAUGGGUUUUGAGGAGUUGCUGUAUCUAGGUAAUAAUGAUGAUGUUCCUCACCAGACUACCAUUCAUGGGGUUUUUGUGGGUAUCUGGUUUUCAUCUGACAACAGUGUUGACCUUGGGGUACUGUAUCAGGUAAAGCUUAUAUGUUCCAUAAUGAUAGAAGUGACCAAGGUUAUUUGCAGGUAUUCUGGUAGAAAAGGUUCUCUUUAACACAUAGUUCAUAAUGUGUUGUCUUAUUCCUGUCAAGAUAUGGUGAAACUAACAAUGAGCUUUCACCUGGGACUUUUCUAAUCCUCAGGUGAGUGGUGAUGUGGGUUUCCACACUACAAACCUUGUGAUCAUCACAAGUCUAAGUCAGCGAUGAUGGUGUCCCUAAUACUUGUGUUGCUAUGAUUUUUCCCCAGGUAUCACGUAAGUACCCAGGUAAGAAAUCGUAUGACACUGACAAUGUAUGUAUUGCUAGUAUACAGGUAAGAAAUUAUAUUACAUUUACACAUUAGAGACCUUCUUAUUUUUCAGACAUAUAGGUCAUCAAUAAUGGUGUCAAGAACUCUUAUACUAACAUUGUUUUUUGACAGGUAUAUAGGUAAGAAAUUAAUUUUACUGAAUUUGUGUCUAAGAUGUGUAUUAGAGUGUUGAGGGACUGCCAUAUCCACAUAAUGAUGAGGGUUUUCCCCAGCCCUGUAGUACCUAGGAUUUUUGCAAGUACCUAGUCAGUAGGGGAUAUUGUUACUAACAAAGGUAUAAUCAGUGGGAUACAACAAGUAUCUAGAUGGAGUUAACGGAUCUUGCAGUGAAGGAAGCCACCACCUUUAUAUAUAGGCAUCCAGGAAGAAAAAGAUGUAUAUAUAGAAACAUUUGUAACAAUGUGUUUGUCAUUUUAGUCAAGAGCACAUGAUGAACUUUACCAUGGCUCUUUACAGAGAUUUUUCUGGUAGCCAGGUAAGUGAUAAUAUGGGCCUGAACCAGGGCCCACAGACCAUCUGAUCUUCAGAUACCUAAGUAAGGGACAACAGUGUCCCUGACCCUUAAUGUGUUUUUUAUUAUAGCUAUUUAGAUAAGAAGUGAUAGAGUCCUUACCAUUUCUAGAACUUAUGAGAUUUCAUGUUUUAUAUUUGAGAGAAAGUCUGUUGUACCCUCCUGGUAUCUGUUUAUACCAUAUACCAGGUAAUAUGGUAUAACACCUGUUACCAUAUAUAUUUUUUUUUUUUUUGUCUUUUUGCUAUUUCUUUGGGCCGCUCC